GCGGAUGUGCCGGAGCGGUCAAACGGGCUAGCCUAAGGAGCUAGUGGCUUAGUGCCUACGCAGGUUCGAUCCCUGUCAUCCGCA
This 84-nucleotide transfer RNA is filed under the name Candidatus Woesearchaeota archaeon. RNAcentral describes it as "tRNA-Leu". It matches the Rfam family "tRNA". Rfam says of the family: Transfer RNA (tRNA) molecules are approximately 80 nucleotides in length. Lineage: Archaea; Nanobdellati; Candidatus Woesearchaeota. The record is from RNAcentral.